AGGGAUCCACUGUGGGGAUGGGGGCACAAACGGGGGGGUUGGAACCCAAAAUGGGGCUCACAAAAUGGGGGAUCCCUCAGGGAUCCACUGUGGGGAUGGGGGCACCAAAUGGGGAUCUUUAAAUCAAAAAAUAUCCUUCUGGAGUGGGGGGCAUCCCUCAGGGAUCCACUGUGGGGCUGGAGAGCCUGGGGGAGGGUAAGGACUGGGGAUUGAGUGAUCCAGAAGGGCUGGGAUCGAUCCAGAGGGAUCAGGGAGGAUCCAGGAUCGAUCCAGAGAAAACUGAGAUCAAGCCAGAGGGGUUGGAAGGAGCUGGGAUGGAUCCAGAGGGGCUGGGAUUGAACCAAUCAGAUCAGGGAGGAGCUGGGGUCGAUCUAGAGAGAUGUGGGAGGAGCUGAGAUCAAUCCAAGGAGAUCAGGGAGGAGCUGGGGUCGAUCCAGACGGGCUGGGAUCGAUCCAGAGGGAUCAGGGCAGAGCUGGGAUCGAUCCAGAGGAGCUGGGAUUGGUCCAAAGGGAUCAGGGAGGAAUUGAGAUCAAAUCCAGAGGGAUCAGGGAGGAGCUGGGGUCGAUCCAGAGGGAUCAGGGAGGAGCUGGGAUUGAUCCAGAGGGAUCAGGGAGGGGCUGGGAUCAAUCCAAGGAGAUCAGGAAGGAGCUGAGAUCAAUCCAAGGAGAUCAGGG
This 675-nucleotide long non-coding RNA is filed under the name Zonotrichia albicollis (white-throated sparrow). Its description in RNAcentral is "lncRNA (ENSZALG00000000486.1)". The record is from RNAcentral. Lineage: Eukaryota; Metazoa; Chordata; Aves; Passeriformes; Passerellidae.